RNAcentral lists this ribosomal RNA (386 nucleotides) under uncultured bacterium. Its description in RNAcentral is "bacterial SSU rRNA". It matches the Rfam family "Bacterial small subunit ribosomal RNA", at positions 30 to 418 of the family's 1533-position model. The record is from RNAcentral.
AUUAAACGCUGGCGGCAUGCCUUACACAUGCAAGUCGAACGGUAGCGCGGGGCAACCUGGCGACGAGUGGCGAACGGGUGAGUAAAGCAUCGGAACGUGCCCUGGAAUGGGGGAUAACGUAGCGAAAGUUACGCUAAUACCGCAUAUUCUGUGAGCAGGAAAGCAGGGGAUCGCAUGACCUUGCGUUCUGGGAGCGGCCGAUGUCGGAUUAGCUAGUUGGUGGGGUAAAAGCCUACCAAGGCGACGAUCCGUAGCGGGUCUGAGAGGAUGAUCCGCCACACUGGGACUGAGACACGGCCCAGACUCCUACGGGAGGCAGCAGUGGGGAAUUUUGGACAAUGGGCGGAAGCCUGAUCCAGCCAUGCCGCGUGAGUGAAGAAGGCCUU